GAGACACCCUUCUGGGGAAAGCCUUGCUUCAGUGGGGCUUUGGUGCUCACUGAGUCUGCCCUCUGAGUGUGUCCCU
Molecule: microRNA precursor, 76 nt
Filed under: Myotis davidii
Lineage: Eukaryota; Metazoa; Chordata; Mammalia; Chiroptera; Vespertilionidae
Description: mir-9229 microRNA precursor family
Rfam family: mir-9229 microRNA precursor family
Source: Rfam by way of RNAcentral